RNAcentral lists this ribosomal RNA (515 nucleotides) under uncultured bacterium. Its description in RNAcentral is "partial 16S ribosomal RNA". It matches the Rfam family "Bacterial small subunit ribosomal RNA", at positions 28 to 523 of the family's 1533-position model. The record is from RNAcentral.
GAUGAACGCUGGCGGCGUGCCUAAUACAUGCAAGUCGAGCGAAUGGAUUAAGAGCUUGCUCUUAUGAAGUUAGCGGCGGACGGGUGAGUAACACGUGGGUAACCUGCUCAUAAGACUGGGAUAACUCCGGGAAACCGGGGCUAAUACCGGAUAAUAUUUUGAACUGCAUGGUUCAAAAUUGAAAGGCGGCUUCGGCUGUCACUUAUGGAUGGACCCGCGUCGCAUUAGCUAGUUGGUGAGGUAACGGCUCACCAAGGCAACGAUGCGUAGCCGACCUGAGAGGGUGAUCGGCCACACUGGGACUGAGACACGGCCCAGACUCCUACGGGAGGCAGCAGUAGGGAAUCAUCCGCAAUGGACGAAAGUCUGACGGAGCAACGCCGCGUGAGUGAUGAAGGCUUUCGGGUCGUAAAACUCUGUUGUUAGGGAAGAACAAGUGCUAGUUGAAUAAGCUGGCACCUUGACGGUACCUAACCAGAAAGCCACGGCUAACUACGUGCCAGCAGCCGCCGUAA